This 631-nucleotide small RNA is filed under the name Pan troglodytes (chimpanzee). RNAcentral's name for it is "processed transcript". The record is from RNAcentral. Lineage: Eukaryota; Metazoa; Chordata; Mammalia; Primates; Hominidae.
GGAGCGAGCAUGUGGGUCUGCAGUACCCUGUGGCGGGUGCGAACCCCCGCCCGGCAGUGGCGGGGGCUGCUCCCAGCUUCUGGCUGUCGCGGACCUGCCGCCUCCUCCUACUCCGCAUCCGCCGAGCCUGCCCGGGUCCGGGCGCUUGUCUAUGGGCACCACGGGGAUCCAGCCAAGGUCGUCGAAGGUAUAACCAGGGAAUUGUUUCAGAGGUUUCCUUGGAUAUUCCUACAACUGAUAACAGCUGUCAUUUCUUCAGCAUCUACUGUACUCAAGAACCUGGAGCUAGCUGCUGUGGGAGGAUCAGAUGUCCGUGUGAAGAUGCUGGCGGCCCCUAUCAAUCCAUCUGACAUAAAUAUGAUCCAAGGAAACUACGGACUCCUUCCUGAACUGCCUGCUGUUGGAGGGAACGAAGGUGUUGCACAGGUGGUAGCGGUGGGCAGCAAUGUGACCGGGCUGAAGCCAGGAGACUGGGUGAUUCCAGCAAAUGCUGGUUUAGGAACCUGGCGGACCGAGGCUGUGUUCAGCGAGGAAGCACUGAUCCAAGUUCCGAGUGACAUCCCUCUUCAGAGCGCUGCCACCCUGGGUGUCAAUCCCUGCACAGCCUACAGGAUGUUGAUGGACUUCGAGC